CUGUAGCUCAGUUGGCAGAGCAGCGGACUUUUAAUCCGUGGGUCCUGGGUUCGAGCCCCAGUGG
Molecule: transfer RNA, 64 nt
Filed under: Cutibacterium granulosum
Lineage: Bacteria; Bacillati; Actinomycetota; Actinomycetes; Propionibacteriales; Propionibacteriaceae
Rfam family: tRNA
About the family: Transfer RNA (tRNA) molecules are approximately 80 nucleotides in length. Their secondary structure includes four short double-helical elements and three loops (D, anti-codon, and T loops).
Source: RNAcentral